This 253-nucleotide ribosomal RNA is filed under the name uncultured bacterium. RNAcentral describes it as "partial 16S ribosomal RNA". It matches the Rfam family "Bacterial small subunit ribosomal RNA", at positions 524 to 776 of the family's 1533-position model. The record is from RNAcentral.
UACGUAGGGGGCAAGCGUUGUCCGGAUUUAUUGGGCGUAAAGAGCGUGUAGGCGGCCAACUAAGUCCUGCGUGAAAUCUCGGGGCUCAACCCCGAGCGGUCGUGGGAAACUGGUUGGCUAGAGUGCGGGAGAGGAGAGUGGAAUUCCUGGUGUAGCGGUGAAAUGCGCAGAUAUCAGGAAGAACACCCGUGGCGAAGGCGGCUCUCUGGAACGCAACUGACGCUGAGACGCGAAAGCGUGGGGAGCAAACAGG